GUCUUUGUAGUAUACUCAAUACACUGGUCUUGUAAACCAGAAAAGGAGAGC
Molecule: transfer RNA, 51 nt
Filed under: Cervus canadensis canadensis (Eastern wapiti)
Lineage: Eukaryota; Metazoa; Chordata; Mammalia; Artiodactyla; Cervidae
Description: partial tRNA-Thr
Source: RNAcentral